This 275-nucleotide long non-coding RNA is filed under the name Vigna radiata. Its description in RNAcentral is "long non-coding RNA (VRAD_LNC001953)". The record is from RNAcentral. Lineage: Eukaryota; Viridiplantae; Streptophyta; Magnoliopsida; Fabales; Fabaceae.
AAACUGAAUACAACAAUCAAUGUAUUAUUUUUAAUUAUUGCUUGUAAUCAUUAUCAUAAUGUUGAUUCGAAUUAUUACCAAAUAAAACAGAAUCUCGAAAAUAUUUCAAAGUGAUCUGUCAUGCAUUAAUAUUAAUUGCUUAUGGGUCUGCUGCACCAUUUUUCCAAGAAAAUCAUGUGGAGCACCUCUCCCAUUUAAUCACCAUUCUUUUCUUUUCAUUUUAUUCACGUGCACCCCCCUUUUUUUCUUUUCUUCUUUUUUUCGCUUUGCUUUUC